RNAcentral lists this transfer RNA (67 nucleotides) under Ips cembrae. RNAcentral describes it as "tRNA-Leu". The record is from RNAcentral. Lineage: Eukaryota; Metazoa; Arthropoda; Insecta; Coleoptera; Curculionidae.
GUUACAUUGGCAGAUUAGUGCAAUAAAUUUAGAAUUUAUAAAUAUGAAGGUUUCUUUAUAUGUAAUA